Molecule: RNA transcript, 4031 nt
Organism: Magallana angulata
Lineage: Eukaryota; Metazoa; Mollusca; Bivalvia; Ostreida; Ostreidae
Gene name: CUGBP Elav-like family member 3-B
Exons: 14
Source: RefSeq, a predicted model, not a curated record
GUUUCCCCGAGUGAAGAGAGCCUGUUGUCACCUGUAGCUCGAUAGUCGGUAGUCGCCGACAGAUUGUUACACGGGCUAGUAUUGGCUACUUCCCAAGGCAUCGGAAAUCGGAAAGUUCCCCAUUGCUUCCUACCCCGGUUUCUUCAGAAACAGUGUUGUGUGGCGCUCUUCUGUUGUUUGCAUGUUUUUGUGAGCAAGUCUGGAGGUAAAUGGCGAUGACGUCUUUGGUUGGUGGGGUGGUGACGGACCAGUUGAUUCACCACCGCCCUCACCCGCUCCACAGUCAAACAAUCCCCACCCAACAACUCACAGGGAGCCUCCAAAUCACCAACGGAAGUAUCCCGACACAGAUACACAACGGACUCGGUGCUGGAUCCGGAAUCGUACUGAAAAGUCAUGACACUGUGAAACUUUUUGUGGGACAAAUUCCGCGGACUUUGGAAGAAAAGGAUUUAAGGCCAAUAUUUGAAGAAUUUGGACAAAUCUACGAAUUUACUGUUCUGAAGGACAGGUUCACGGGAAUGCACAAAGGAUGUGCCUUUCUGACUUACUGUCACAAGGACAGCGCCCUGAAGGCGCAACAGGCGCUCCACGAACAGAAGACGCUGCCCGGGAUGAAUCGUCCAAUCCAAGUCAAACCAGCGGACAGCGAGAACAGAGCGGAAGACCGGAAGCUUUUUGUGGGCAUGCUCAACAAGCAACAAACAGAAGAUGACGUCAGGCAAUUGUUCCAGCCUUUCGGAAAUAUAGAAGAAUGCACGAUAUUAAGGGACCAAAAUGGAAACAGCAAAGGCUGUGCAUUUGUUAAAUUCUCUGGUCACAACGAGGCCCAGUCGGCCAUUAAUGCCCUACACGGAAGUCAAACUAUGCCGGGUGCAUCUUCUAGCCUGGUGGUAAAAUUCGCAGACACAGAAAAAGAACGACAACUGCGUAGAAUGCAGCAAAUGGCAGGUCCACUUGGACUCCUUAAUCCGUUUGCUAUCUCUCAGAUUGGUGCAUAUGGUGCUUAUGCCCAGCAACAGGCUGCUUUAAUGGCGGCUGCGGCGACUCAAGGGACGUACCUGACCAGCCCUGUCACCACCCUGGCUCACAUUCCACAGGUCGGCGCCCUUGCCACGCCCAACGGCAUCACAACAGGUGCGCUGACGCCUACAACCGCCACAUUAGCCAACGGUACCACAGCUAUUAACGGAGCCCCACCCAGCGUCCUGUCCCCCACGGCCUUGGCGGGCUUUCAGAUUCCCCAACACAACGGACAGACGCCGGAAAUGUACGCAAACGGAAUCCCUCAUUAUCCCGGGGAGUGUCAGGUGGUAGAGCUAGCGCAAGCUGUAACUAACGGGGAUCCUUUACAAGCAUACGCUAGUAUGCAGCCAUAUGCUGGGAUUGCAUACCCGGCAUUUGGAGUACAGCAAGCGCUAGCUCAACACGCCGCCAUUUUACCGGCUCAGAAAGAAGGUACGCUAGAAUUCCCCAAAGUUGUAUUUACAGGCCCGGAGGGCUGUAACCUCUUCAUCUACCACCUGCCCCAGGAGUUCGGGGACGCCGAGCUGGCACAGAUGUUCAUGCCGUUCGGAACAGUUAUAAGUGCCAAGGUUUACGUAGACAGGGCGACCAAUCAGAGCAAGUGCUUCGGAUUCGUCAGCUUUGACAACCCAACGAGCGCCCAGGCGGCCAUCCAGGCCAUGAACGGGUUCCAGAUCGGGAUGAAGCGUCUCAAAGUCCAGCUGAAGCGCCCAAAAGACCAGAAUCGGCCAUACUAAAGCCUGACCACCCGCUCCCACAGCUCAGGAAACAACAACUCUCCUGCUUGUUUCAAACAAAGAGAGAUAACUCUGAUUCAAGCCAGAGAGAUGCAGAGUUUUUAGUAGACCACCAGAAACAAAGGGACAAAACUCUGACGACCGAUACAGGGUAUCAAAGGGAGAUUACUCCUACUCACGACUCGACUGUAAAUAGAAACUCAUUCUAAAUUUUUAUUUUCUUAUAUAAAAGAGAACGUUUUCCCACCGAUUUUGUAAUAUACUGGAUGUUGUUCAGAAAGUUAGCAUGGUUCACAAAUGACAAUGCGAGAGGAGACUUUAGCGACACGCUGUACAGAUAUUGGUUAUUACGAGGACGUAUAAUUAUAACAUUUUUCCCACCUUGCUUAUUUAUUAUAUUUUAUUAUAAAAAUAUUAGAUUUAGUUACAUUGAAAUGUUUAUGAUAUAUAUAUUACAUGUUAUAUAUUUAUUAUAUUUGACACGAUGUAAAUAUUUGCCCCAUAUAAAACAACCAGCCCUUUUUGAUGGUUCCUCAUGUUCGCUGGUAAACAUUCCAAGAUUAUUUUUUUUUCGUUUAAGAACAAGUUACUCCAGCAGAUGCCAUUGAAUGUAAUUUCGACAACAUUUUAAUGAUGUUUUAUGUGUUAAAGGUGUAAUUUUUACAAGAGAGUAUUUUCAAAUCAAAUAUUUAUAUAUUAUCAUAUUAUAUAUUAUGUACUUAUCACUUCAUAUAAGGCGGCCGCUCAUUGGAUGUUGUGUAUGGUUGCCAUGGACACCCUAGCUGUUGUCAGGUUUUUAUUGUAUCUUAGACUUGUCAUAGAAACAGCAAUUGGUUCUUCUAAUUUUUAUGUGUAAUCCUAGUGACAAAUUUAAUGUUGUUUAUUUUGACAUCAAUGUAAAUUUGUUUUUAUCAGUAAGUGACAAUUUCUUUUUGAUUUCGGUGAAUUUUGGUUGUUUUAUAUGGCGGAAGUAUGGGCAUUGUAUUUGUAUAUAAUUUGAACAAAAUGCAUUCCUGAUCAUUUUUUAUUUCAUCAAAUCCUGUCAUUGCAUCAUGUUGUGCCCUGGUCAGCCUCGUUUUCACACCGGGCAGGGAUCAAAGUUCACUUUGUUGAUCAUUACUUUAUAAAAAGAUAUCUUGUUACUGAUUUUAGCCACACGUGUACACGAUCUAGCUUGGAUGUUAAUCAUUUUGUUGAAUGGCCCCUGUUUUAUCAAUGGACAGAGAGUUUGUUACUUAUUAACAGUAAAAGUCGUAUUUAUUUAUUUAUUUAUAUUUAUUUGUUUUCAGUAUCAUCAAGCCAUUUUGUACAUAGGUAGUUUAGAUAUUAUAUUAGCAAUCUUUCUUAGCUUACAACUUAUACCUAAACAACAUUACUUAUGUUUUGUUUUAUUGUUAAUUAAAUAAUGAUUGUACUACAAACGAUGGAUGUAGAAAUAGUUGUCAGUAGAGUUAUUUUGGGUACAACUUGUUUCAAUUAUGUUAAGUCGUACACGUGAUGUGUCGUUUUUAAUGGUCACAAUGGCGAGUUUUGUGUUUAUUUGAGUGGUUUAAAAACAGAUCCAAGAAUGUGCAAUAUUUUAUGUAUUACAAAUAAUUAUAUAUCUAGUCAUGCACUGUAGUUCACCUGAGAGAGACUCGAUUUGAUUUCCUGGUUGUGUAUAGCAUUUGCAUGAACGGCACGUAAAUUGAAGUACUUAAUAAAGUUUUAAGGUUUGUUUUAAUUUUGAAUCUCAGGUGAACAGUGCGGUUUAUGAAAAUAUUAUUGGUGCAAUCGAUUUAAUAACAAUUUUUUUGUUGUUUCAAUUACUCGUGAAACUCUUGCAUAAUUGUGACGUAAUGUCUCAUUGGAGGACCUAGCAAUCUCAGUGGAUGUAGCGGUGACGACAUCACCUCGUGCCUAUGACAAUUGGUACCCGGAAUGUCCCAGCACAUCCACACUGACACUUUUUACUUUUGAGUAGAACAGAAUUUUGACACUUUUUAAAUUUUGUUUUUCUUCAUAUCGCAUAUAUAUAUUCUUACAUAUUUCUAUACUCCCUUAAUUAGAGAGAAUCCAUUUUGAUAUUUACAUUGGAAGAGAAAUGAUCUUGUUUCUUUUUAGUUAAUUUUUUUUUCUGACUUAGUUUAUAGUCAGAUUUAUUCUUAUAACUGACGCAAGUAGUCAGAUUGAUCAUGAUCUAGCCUGAUUCAUUAGUCACUUAGUUAGAAAUCAUAAUAGCUAACCUGUAUAAAGAAGCGAUACAAUAAAAUAGUCCAUCAUAUACUA